AUUGAACGCUGGCGGCAUGCCUUACACAUGCAAGUCGAACGGCAGCACGGGUGCUUGCACCUGGUGGCGAGUGGCGAACGGGUGAGUAAUACAUCGGAACGUACCUUAUCGUGGGGGAUAACGCAGCGAAAGCUGUUCUAAUACCGCAUACGCCCUGAGGGGGAAAGCGGGGGAUCGCAAGACCUCGCGCGAUGAGAGCGGCCGAUGCCUGAUUAGCUUGUUGGUGGGGUAAAAGCCCACCAAGGCGACGAUCAGUAGCUAGUCUGAGAGGACGAUCAGCCACACUGGGACUGAGACACGGCCCAGACUCCUACGGGAGGCAGCAGCGGGGAAUUUUGGACAAUGGGGGCAACCCUGAUCCAGCAAUGCCGCGUGAGUGAAGAAGGCCUUCGGGUUGUAAAGCUCUUUUGUCAGGGAAGAAACACCGGCUCUAACACAGUCCGGGAAUGACGGUACCUGAAGAAUAAGCACCGGCUAACUACGUGCCAGCAGCCGCAGUAA
This 501-nucleotide ribosomal RNA is filed under the name uncultured bacterium. RNAcentral's name for it is "partial 16S ribosomal RNA". It matches the Rfam family "Bacterial small subunit ribosomal RNA", at positions 29 to 523 of the family's 1533-position model. The record is from RNAcentral.